GUGCUCUCUUCGGCAGUACAUAUACUAAAAUUGGAAUGAUACAGAGAAGAUUAGCAUGGCCACUGUGCAAGGAUGAUAUGCAAAUUUGUAAAAUGUUCCAUAUUUUU
RNAcentral lists this small nuclear RNA (107 nucleotides) under Carlito syrichta (Philippine tarsier). Lineage: Eukaryota; Metazoa; Chordata; Mammalia; Primates; Tarsiidae. The record is from RNAcentral.